This is a non-coding RNA of Oryctolagus cuniculus (rabbit), 2368 nucleotides long. Lineage: Eukaryota; Metazoa; Chordata; Mammalia; Lagomorpha; Leporidae. The record is from RefSeq and is a predicted model, not a curated record.
UACUUUCUUACUGACUGACUUAUUUGAAAGGCACAGGGGAGGGAUCUUCUAUCUGUGAUUCACUCCCCAAAUACCUGCAACAACCAGGGCUGGGCCAGGCAAAAGCCAAUAGCCAGAAAUUCCAGGGAUCGCAGGGACCUAACCACUUGGGCUAUCAUCCAUUGCCUUCCCAGGUGCGUUAGCAAGAAGCUGAAUGGGAAGCAGGGUAGCUAUGACUCCACCUAGCACUCUGAGAUGCCAGUGUUGCGUGCACCAGCUUAACCCACUGUGCCACAACACUGGCCCCUGCUUCCUAAACACCAAGAUGUUUGGAAAUCUUAACCCUGAAAUGACUGUUCACGCAGAUGUACUGUGCGCAAAUGCUGGAUUAUCGCUGCCGCUCUGGGUUUACUGAAGGUGGUUUGUGUAGCUAUGACAACGAGAUGGAGUCUAGAACUGUCAAUAUUCUUUACCUCCUCAUAGCACGUGUAACUGAGUCCCCACAGCCUAGUCAGUAUCUUAUCCUGACCUGCAGCUCCCUGGGAGAGCCGGGGUGGGAGUGGCCUCCGCACACCGCUGAAACCACAACAUCACAGCUGCCCACAGCCCCGAUUUCAGUGGGGGAAACAGGAAGAGCGUGCCGAGUUUACCAGGCAAGACUGGAGGAGAGCAAAGCCCCGGGAACCUGGAGGAUCUCUGGGGUCUUCCUGAAUGUUAAAGACUCUGUGCGCAAACCAAAGCCGUGGGCGCGCAGGGGCCGCAGUCAGUCCCCUGCCGCAGACCCGCGGGCCUGCGCAAACCCGAAGGGAAAGGUGGCCGGCCUCCCUCCCGCUUUCCCCUGGCGGACAUGCCAGGCCUGUCAGGCCAUCUCUGGUCCCUGACCGACCUCUAACUCAAGGUGAGCCAGCUUAGAACCGCAAGAACUUUAAAAACUCGAAGAGACAUCGAUGGCGGGCCGACAGAGGCUACAGUUAGUCCGAAAAAGCUGCCCAACAACACUUUAGGACCGCAAGUCCAGAGAAAUCAGAGUCCUAACAGGUCGCUCACAAUGGAACAUUGGCAGAAAAACUUAAGCCAUGGAACUGCUAAGUCUUCUACAGCACAACUACAUUAUGCUGUCCACGUUCCAAGGGCAAACCAAAUGAAUAUGAAACUGCUCUGAAAAUGAAAUAGUACCAGAACUCAGGAAAAUCGUUUAGUCGACUGUUUGCAGAACUGGUUGGUCAAGUCUGCUGCUCAAAAGAACUGGACCGUGGAGAAGGUGAGUGACGGCAUCAGCGGAUUUAGUUACUGAAGAACCAAAAGAACUCAUUAUGAAUUGACAAAUGGUAUGUUAAAUUGAAUGAGCAGCGUCUACUUAUAAAAGAUGGCAAUAUCGCAAAUACAGCCCAAUUAAGACGCUGUUCCGCCAAAGCUGCUCAGUGGAAUCAAUGCUAGAUGUUCGGUAUAAACUGUCUGCGGGCCCUGGAAUGCAUCUUUCCACCAACUUCGGCAAUCUGGCCUUGCAUCCAGGACUCACUCUGUCCCACUAUUUUUUUUUUUCUCCCUUGAAAAAAGUUUCCUGGGGUGAGCUAGGUUGCCUGCUUCCCACACUGAAGUGGCUGCUUCCUGGCUCUGGCUCCUGAUUCUGACUAGUGUGUGCCCUGAGCAGAUGCAGGGGGUGGCUCAAGUACUUAAGACCCUGGCACCCAUGUGGGAAACCCAAGAUGGAGUUCUGGGCUCCCGGCCUUAGCCUGGUCCGGCCUUAGCUGUGGUGGACAUUUAGGGAAAGAACCAGAAAAUGGGGUGUGUGUGUGUACAUGCGUGUGUGAGCACGUGUGCGCACCUGCCUGUGAAUUACAUGUAAAUUAAAAAAGAAAGUAGACUGUUCCCAAGUGCUGCUUUUCUCUUGUUUUACGGCAUGUCAACCCGACAGGCAGCUCGCUCGCUGGCGUAUCCAUUCCCCUUCACAACGAGACGUCAGUUACCUCAGGGCUCCAGGGACCUUAACUCCUGUCCUGUAAGAGUUAACACUCCCUGGGACGGCAGGAAGCAGCCCGGAUUAGGAGCUGAGGUGCUGGUCUGAGCUUUACCACUGUAAUUCCCUUACUGUCUAGGUACGACCGACACAUGGGAGGCUAAUUCCCUUGACCAUAGUCUGUGCACAGAGGGUGGGACUGGUGCUAGCCUGCUUGCCACGAAGUCCUACCCACUGCUCCGGAAGUCUCGUCAGUUCUAGAGAUUUCCCCUUUCCUUCGUAAACUGCCCGCCAUACACUGUGCUAACCCGGCUGUAGAAGCGGCCGGGCCUCAUACCCCAUUCCUAACAGUCUUUGGGGGUGGUGUGAGAGGGAGAGAAGGGAGAGAGAGAGGGGGGAGGAAGAAAGAGAGAGAGAGAGGAGAGACACAGA